This 320-nucleotide ribosomal RNA is filed under the name uncultured eukaryote. Its description in RNAcentral is "partial 18S ribosomal RNA". It matches the Rfam family "Eukaryotic small subunit ribosomal RNA", at positions 1470 to 1796 of the family's 1831-position model. The record is from RNAcentral.
CCCCUAGAUGUUCUGGGCCGCACGCGCGCUACACUGAACAGUUCAACAAGUCUUAACCUUGGCCGGUAGGUCUGGGUAAUCUUUGAACGCUGUUCGUGAUUGGGAUAGACCUUUGCAAUUAUGGGUCUUCAACGAGGAAUUCCUAGUAAACGCAAGUCAUCAGCUUGCAUUGAUUACGUCCCUGCCCUUUGUACACACCGCCCGUCGCACCUACCGAUUGAAUGGUCCGGUGAAAUCUCGGGACGGCGGCUUGGUCGCUUGCGUCCGACUGCUGAAACUUGAUUAAACCAUAUCAUUUAGAGGAAGGUGAAGUCGUANCA